AUGGAUGGGGGAAGUAGUAUCAAUAUUUUGUAUUAUGAUACAUUCCAUCGUAUGGGGUUGACAGAUAAGGAUCUUAAACCGUCGAAUACGGUAUUUCAUGGUGUGGUGCCUGGUAAGUCUGCAUAUCCUGUUGGUAAGAUAGCUCUGGAGGUAGCUUUUGGAGAUGACUACAAUUCAAGGUCAGAAACAUUAACAUUUGAGGUGGUGAAGAUCAAAAGUCCGUACCACGCUUUGUUUGGGCGGCCGGUUUAUGCUAAGUUUAUGGCAAGACCAUGUUAUGUUUACCUACAGCUUAAAAUGCCAGGUCAUAAGGGGACUAUCAUAGUACAUGGAAGUAGAAAGAUUGCUUUGGAGUGUGAAAAAGGCGAUGCGGCUUAUGCUGAGUCGGUUUGUGCCAUGGAGGAGUUAAAAUUCUAUAAGGAGCAAGUUGAUCCGGCAGACAUGACCUCCUUAAAAAAGCCAACCACGGAACUUGAUCCAGCAUUGAAGUUCAAAUCAGCUACAGUCACUAAAAUGGUUGACUUUGUUCCUGGCGAUUCAUCCAAAUAG
This 549-nucleotide ribosomal RNA is filed under the name Triticum aestivum (bread wheat). RNAcentral's name for it is "partial small subunit ribosomal RNA". Lineage: Eukaryota; Viridiplantae; Streptophyta; Magnoliopsida; Poales; Poaceae. The record is from RNAcentral.